AACCAAGACAAAAUCUAACUACUCAGUCACUGCCUACAACCCAAGUUCACACACAGCAUAUGCAAGCGCAGAGUCUUGGGCAAUCUCAGAACGUUCUUCCGCCGCAACAAUCAGUUCAAAAUCAAAACCAACUGCAGAGAAACCUCCCCCAGAGCCUAUCACAGCAACAUCCACAACAACAGAUUCUGGGUCAGACUCAGCAGCAAAGUUUCAUUUCAUCCCAGCCCCCAGAUCCAGU
RNAcentral lists this unclassified non-coding RNA (238 nucleotides) under Hevea brasiliensis (rubber tree). Lineage: Eukaryota; Viridiplantae; Streptophyta; Magnoliopsida; Malpighiales; Euphorbiaceae. The record is from RNAcentral.